CAUGUUUGAAACUAGUUGCAUUGGUGCAACCUUUUGAGAAGUACCGAAAAUUUGAUUCAAAUAAAUUAUGUUUAUGGACAGGGUGACACUUGGAUAAAAUAAGAAGCUUAAAUGACUUGGCUGGCAAGUGACAACUGUAUGAAAAUGGCCAUUCACAGUAAGCGUGGGUUAGCAGAAUGGAUCGACAUGGUGCCUUAUGUGUCAAUAAAAUUACAAUCAAGGGCAAUUUAGAGAUUCAAGGCAGGCUUAUUUAGGUUAGUUUACGUGUCAACAACCCUCCAGCUGUCACUUUCUUCUCACGGAACUCAUCUCUGUGCCGACUGCCUCUCCGAUGUUCAAAAACCCGAACACCACACUCCUUUUCACCUCACACACUCCCAUUCCACCUUCCCACAAAGGCGUUCGAGGUAUUCACAAAAUCCGGCAAAACGGAGAAGCCAGAUUUGUCUCAAAGGGUACCAAAGGAGAUUCCAACCAUUGAUAUUCCUCUCAGGGUAAGUUCACAGUUUUCCAUAUCCUUUAAACUUGGGUACAUCAUUCAUGUUCUUUGAUUGUCGUUUAUCUCGACUCUUUUGUGACAUUUUGAUCAAUGAAUUUUGUUCUGUUAGUUUGUUGGAGAGAUUGCACAAGAAAUGUGUUUUUUAUUUUAACUAUAUAGAAGCGUGGGUUAGGAGAAUGGAUCGACAUGGUGCCUUAUGUGUCAAUAAAAUUACAAUCAAGGGCAAUUUAGAGAUUCAAGGCAGGCUUAUUUAGGUUAGUUUACGUGUCAACAGCCCAAUAAAUUUAUUCAAAAAAAAAAACCCAAUAAAUAACUUUAUAUCAAAUUUACUGCUACGUCUUAUUAAUUAAAAUUAGCUGAAAAUCUCUCUGAAUUAAGUAAGCAUGAAACAUUCUCUGAAUUAAGCAAGCAUGAAACUUCCCUGUCAGGGAACUAUAUUGCUUGACUAUCAUAUUCCUAUAUUGUGAUAUAUUUACACGUUCAUCCUCUUAUGGUAUUGGUUUGAGAGACGCUUUGUGCACUUCUGCCACUGACAUACUAAAGUUGUCCAUUAUCACAUUCAUUCUUUUGUUUCUUUAGUGUGAUCUUCAUCCAAGAUUCUUAAUUUGGUAUUUCCAGGAAGUUUUUGAACCAAAUUAAACAUCAAACUGCUAUCUUUUUGCAAAAUUGCACUGCCUGUUUUGAAAGCUGGAUUCCCGAAGAACAAAGAAUAUAUGCAACGCACAAUACUUUAACAAGCCUCUCCAGGUAUUUUGUCAACCACACAUCACACAGCUACAACGUUAACUGCGAAGAACAAGAUGACUGCAAGCGGCAUAGUCGGCGGUUGUGUUACUAUAUUGCCUUUUGCCGCUACCGACUUCUAUCAAUAUGUAACUAAUGUGUGUAUGCAUAGACAAUGCAAUCAUCAAUGUAUAUAAACAUUAUGCUUCAGUUGUGC
Molecule: long non-coding RNA, 1439 nt
Organism: Lycium barbarum (goji berry)
Lineage: Eukaryota; Viridiplantae; Streptophyta; Magnoliopsida; Solanales; Solanaceae
Exons: 3
Source: RefSeq, a predicted model, not a curated record